CCUACGGGUGGCAGCAGUGAGGAAUAUUGGGCAAUGGGCGCGAGCCUGAACCAGCCAAGUAGCGUGAAUGAUGACUGCCCUACGGGUUGUAAACUUCUUUUAUAAAGGAAUAAAGUGAGGCACGUGUGCCUUUUUGUAUGUACUUUAUGAAUAAGGAUCGGCUAACUCCGUUCCAGCAGCCGCGGUAAUAAGGAGGGUCCGAGCGUUAUCCGGAUUUAUUGGGUUUAAAGGUAGAGUAGAUGGGUUGUUAAGUCAGUUGUGAAAGGUUGCGGCUCAACCGUAAAAUGGCAAUUGAUACUGGCAGUCUUGAGUACAGGUGAGGAAGGCGGAAUUCGUGGUGUAGCGGUGAAAUGCUUAGAUAUCACGAAGAACUCCGAGUGCGAAGGCAGCUUACUAAACUGCCACUGACAUUGAUGCUCGAAAGUGUGGGUAUCAAACAGGAUUAGAUACCCCUGUAGUC
This 460-nucleotide ribosomal RNA is filed under the name uncultured bacterium. Its description in RNAcentral is "partial 16S ribosomal RNA". It matches the Rfam family "Bacterial small subunit ribosomal RNA", at positions 338 to 795 of the family's 1533-position model. The record is from RNAcentral.